UACGGAGGAUCCAAGCGUUAUCCGGAUUUAUUGGGUUUAAAGGGUGCGUAGGCGGAAUGAUAAGUCAGUGGUGAAAGCCUGCAGCUUAACUGUAGAAUUGCCGUUGAUACUGUCAUUCUUGAGUAUAUUUGAUGUGGGCGGAAUGUGUCAUGUAGCGGUGAAAUGCUUAGAUAUGACACAGAACACCGAUUGCGAAGGCAGCUCACAAAACUAUAACUGACGCUGAGGCACGAAAGCGUGGGGAUCAAACAGG
Molecule: ribosomal RNA, 253 nt
Filed under: uncultured bacterium
Lineage: Bacteria
Description: partial 16S ribosomal RNA
Rfam family: Bacterial small subunit ribosomal RNA
Source: RNAcentral